GUACAACCAAAUUGGUUCCAGAAAAUUGUAAAAGACUGGGGUUUAGGCAUGGAACAUCACUGGUGCUGUGCUUAACAGAUUAAGUGAAUAAAAGAUGAACAGUAAAGGAAAAUGUAAUCAGCAAGCUCCGCUAGUUCUGUUGUCAGACCCUGCUGUCUUCUGCACCUUCCUUUCUGAGUAUAGACCUGAGAAACUAUGUCCAGAUGCCCCCAAAAAUGGCAUAUCAUGAGACCAAGCCUUCAGCUCCUCAUCCUUACCAGAGUUAAACUCCCCCAUGACUGCCACUCUUCUUCUGCAACUCUUCAUCCUUUUCUUUACUCCCUCCUUUUCCUCUGGGCACUCAUUUUUCUUUCCUCUUAGCACCAUGGAGGUUUUGCAGGAGAUAAUAUGACAGCUCUUCAUGCAAGUAGCCAAACAAUGCCUCAUUUCCCAGGGGGAGUUUGUGCUUUUCGUGUUCAGUUGCCAUCCACUUUAGGGAGCGUGGAUAACUAUGUAUGGCAUUCAUCAUUAAUUCUGCCAAAGCUAGGGCUGAAAUGGAGACUGAGCUGCAUUAAUAUUGUGAUUUCAGUUCCUGCUAAUUAGUACUGUAAAGAAUUGUUCUUCAUUUAUGUUCUGUCUCAGUUCCAGAGCAGGCCUGCAGGGAGGGGGAGAAGCUCUUCUGGAAGGUGAGACAUGGGGAGUUGAUGUUUUCUCCUCACAUGCAAUUUCUGCAAUCCAUACUUUUCUCUGAGGCUGUGCCAGACACAUGGGCUAAACUGGCAUAUCCAUCUACACACAGCCUUGCCUGCUGCAACUCGUCUCAUGCUGAUCACCUUCUACAGUUGAUUUUGGACAUACCUACAUGAAGGAAGGAACAAAUUCCACCAAAACCAUGAUCUUAUGCCUACGGUUACCGAUCUUCUCGUGCACUAAGGAAAAUGUGACAUCUGGACACAGGACCUCGUGCUGCCAGUGGUGGUGUGGCUUUCUGGCUUGUUCAAUCCUCAGUCCUUUCUGA
Athene cunicularia (burrowing owl) is the source of this 997-nucleotide long non-coding RNA. RefSeq lists it as uncharacterized. Lineage: Eukaryota; Metazoa; Chordata; Aves; Strigiformes; Strigidae. The record is from RefSeq and is a predicted model, not a curated record. The transcript has 4 exons.